GGGGCCCGCACAAGCGUGGAGCAUGUGGUUUAAUUCGACGCAACGCGCAGAACCUUACCUAGACUUGACAUCCCGGGGAUUUUCUGGAAACAGAGAAGUGCUUUUAGCAAUAAAGAACCCGGUGACAGGUGCUGCAUGGCUGUCGUCAGCUCGUGUCGUGAGAUGUUGGGUUAAGUCCCGCAACGAGCGCAACCCUCGCCUUUAGUUGCCAGCAUUCAGUUGGGCACUCUAGAGGGACUGCCGGUGUCAAACCGGAGGAAGGUGGGAUGACGUCAAGUCCUCAUGGCCUUUAUGUCUAGGGCUACACACGUACUACAAUGGCCGGUACAAAGGGCAGCCACUCAGCGAUGAGGCGCUAAUCCCAUAAAGCCGGUCUCAGUUCGGAUCGAAGUCUGCAACUCGACUUCGUGAAGCUGGAUUCGCUAGUAAUCGCGCAUCAGCUAUGGCGCGGUGAAUACGUUCCCGGGCCUU
RNAcentral lists this ribosomal RNA (471 nucleotides) under uncultured Desulfovibrio sp. RNAcentral's name for it is "bacterial SSU rRNA". It matches the Rfam family "Bacterial small subunit ribosomal RNA", at positions 916 to 1382 of the family's 1533-position model. The record is from RNAcentral. Lineage: Bacteria; Pseudomonadati; Thermodesulfobacteriota; Desulfovibrionia; Desulfovibrionales; Desulfovibrionaceae.